CACUGCAAGAAAAAGAAGUAUCCUCAUUGCCAUAAUAUUUCUGAAUAUAAAAGAGGCAUAAAUCACAAUAUUUCAGGAAAAAUGAAAAUCCCUCUCAAAUGUUUGCACCAAAUUACAUUGGACACUAAAUUGAAGUUAUUUUAAUAAACCUAAUCAUCAUAAAUUUCACUUUAUCAAACACAAACACUAGUCCAUAAAUCAAUCACGCAGAAUGCCCAAAAUGUCCUCAUCCCUAAACAAAUGAAACUCUUUGUCAUCAAGCUUAAUUUGAGAGCCACCAUAUUCAGGCAAGAGAACGUGGUCACCUUCUUUAACUGACACCGGAAUCAAAUUCCCAGAUUUGUCUCUCGAUCCAGGUCCAACAGCUACCACCUUCCCUGAAUUAAGCUGUUUUGAAACCAGAAUCAAUUAAAUCGAAAUCGAUUAACGCAGGGACAUAUAUAAAAAAACGAAGAAGAAAGUUUCUACAAACCUGGGAGGUCUUCUCAGGGAGAAGAAUACCGGCGGAGGUCUUGGAAGGAGGGAUGAUUUUCUCGACGAGGAUGCGGUUAAAGGUUGGAAUCAAACGCUUAGCCAUUGAUGGAGAUUUGAAGGAUUAUGG
RNAcentral lists this long non-coding RNA (601 nucleotides) under Medicago truncatula (barrel medic). Its description in RNAcentral is "lncRNA gene19447". The record is from RNAcentral. Lineage: Eukaryota; Viridiplantae; Streptophyta; Magnoliopsida; Fabales; Fabaceae.